RNAcentral lists this ribosomal RNA (270 nucleotides) under Rhizonema sp. 'cyanobiont of Acantholichen costaricensis'. Its description in RNAcentral is "partial 16S ribosomal RNA". It matches the Rfam family "Bacterial small subunit ribosomal RNA", at positions 28 to 327 of the family's 1533-position model. RNAcentral also lists the same sequence under 3 other names. The record is from RNAcentral. Lineage: Bacteria; Bacillati; Cyanobacteriota; Cyanophyceae; Nostocales; Rhizonemataceae.
GAUGAACGCUGGCGGUAUGCUUAACACAUGCAAGUCGAACGGUCUCUUCGGAGAUAGUGGCGGACGGGUGAGUAACGCGUGAGAAUCUAGCUCUAGGUUUGGGACAACCACUGGAAACGGUGGCUAAUACCGGAUAUGCCGAAAGGUGAAAGGUUAACUGCCUGGAGAUGAGCUCGCGUCUGAUUAGCUAGUUGGUAGGGUAAAAGCUUACCAAGGCGACGAUCAGUAGCUGGUCUGAGAGGACGAUCAGCCACACUGGGACUGAGACAC